GGAAUACAGUAGGGAAUCUCGCCCAGGUCGGUGGGGGUAAUAACGUAGUAGGAAACGUACGACUAAUACCGUAUGCCGUCCCGUACGGGAAGUCGGGGACCGCAAGGCCUGACGCGAUUGGAUGAGCCCAUGUUCGAUUAGCUAGUUGGCGGGGUAACGGCCCACCAAGGCGACGAUCGAUAGCUGGUCUGAGAGGAUGAUCAGCCACACUGGAACUGAGACACGGUCCAGACUCCUACGGGAGGCAGCAGUAGGGAAUAUUGGACAAUGGGCGCAAGCCUGAUCCAGCCAUGCCGCGUGAGUGAAGAAGGCCCUCGGGUUGUAAAGCUCUUUUGUUGGGGAAGAAAAGCAGUUGGUUAAUACCCGAUUGUUCUGACGGUACCCAAAGAAUAAGCACCGGCUAACUUCGUG
Molecule: ribosomal RNA, 411 nt
Filed under: uncultured bacterium
Lineage: Bacteria
Description: bacterial SSU rRNA
Rfam family: Bacterial small subunit ribosomal RNA
Source: RNAcentral